UGUUUAUCAAAAACAUUGUCACUUGAGUUAAAUAUGAGUGAUACAUCCUGCCCAAUGAAAUCUUUCAAUGGCCGCGGUAUCCUGACCGUGCAAAGGUAGCAUAAUCACUUGCCUAUUAAUUGUAGGCUAGAAUGAAAGGAUAAACGAAAUCAUCCCUGUCUCCUCUAAGGACCUAAAACCUAAUCUUCAGGUGAAGAAGCCUGAAUAAUAUUGAAGGACAAGAAGACCCUAUAGAGCUUUAUCUUUAACUUAUAAUUUAAAUAAGUCCUGAUUCGGUUGGGGCGACCUGGGAGAACUAAAAACCUCCUACUAAAAAAGAUCUACCAGUCAUUAUACAGAUCCUUAAUCAAGAUCACAGAAACAAGCUACCUUAGGGAUAACAGGCUAAUUUUCUUUGAGAGCCCUUAUUAACAAGAAAGAUUGGCACCUCGAUGUUGGCUUAGGACCUCUUUAUGAUGCAGCAGUCAUAAACAGAUGGUUUGUUCAACCAUUAAAAUCCUACGUGAUCUGAGUUC
RNAcentral lists this ribosomal RNA (515 nucleotides) under Doliodrilus tener. RNAcentral's name for it is "partial 16S ribosomal RNA". It matches the Rfam family "Bacterial large subunit ribosomal RNA", at positions 1801 to 2612 of the family's 2925-position model. Lineage: Eukaryota; Metazoa; Annelida; Clitellata; Tubificida; Naididae. The record is from RNAcentral.